RNAcentral lists this ribosomal RNA (429 nucleotides) under Acidobacteriota bacterium. Its description in RNAcentral is "Acidobacteria bacterium partial 16S ribosomal RNA". It matches the Rfam family "Bacterial small subunit ribosomal RNA", at positions 355 to 776 of the family's 1533-position model. The record is from RNAcentral. Lineage: Bacteria; Pseudomonadati; Acidobacteriota.
UGGGGAAUUUUGGACAAUGGGGUAAACCCUGAUCCAGCCAUCCCGCGUGUGCGAUGAAGGCCUUCGGGUUGUAAAGCACUUUUGGCAGGAAAGAAACGUCAUGGGUUAAUACCCCGUGAAACUGACGGUACCUGCAGAAUAAGCACCGGCUAACUACGUGCCAGCAGCCGCGGUAAUACGUAGGGUGCAAGCGUUAAUCGGAAUUACUGGGCGUAACGCGUGCGCAGGCGGUUCGGAAAGUAAGAUGUGAAAUCCCAGAGCUCAACUUUGGAACUGCAUUUUUAACUACCGGGCUAGAGUGUGUCAGAGGGAGGUGGAAUUCCGCGUGUAGCAGUGAAAUGCGUAGAUAUGCGGAGGAACACCGAUGGCGAAGGCAGCCUCCUGGGAUAACACUGACGCUCAUGCACGAAAGCGUGGGGAGCAAACAGG